GGUUGUGUGGUGCAGUGGUAGCACGUCGCCCUCCGGAGGCGAAGGUCGCGGUUUCGACUACCGUCACGAUCA
Molecule: non-coding RNA, 72 nt
Organism: Beta vulgaris subsp. vulgaris (sugar beet)
Lineage: Eukaryota; Viridiplantae; Streptophyta; Magnoliopsida; Caryophyllales; Amaranthaceae
Source: Rfam